UACGAAGGGGGCGAGCGUUGUUCGGAAUUACUGGGCGUAAAGGGCGCGCAGGCGGCUCUGAAAGUCAGAUGUGAAAGCCCCGGGCUUAACCUGGGAACUGCAUUUGAUACUCUGGAGCUUGAGUACGGGAGAGGAUAGUGGAAUUCCCAGUGUAGAGGUGAAAUUCGUAGAUAUUGGGAAGAACACCAGUGGCGAAGGCGGCUAACUGGUCCAGAUCUGACGCUGAGGUGCGAAAGCGUGGGGAGCAAACAGG
This 253-nucleotide ribosomal RNA is filed under the name uncultured bacterium. Its description in RNAcentral is "partial 16S ribosomal RNA". It matches the Rfam family "Bacterial small subunit ribosomal RNA", at positions 524 to 776 of the family's 1533-position model. The record is from RNAcentral.